Molecule: long non-coding RNA, 3039 nt
Organism: Triticum aestivum (bread wheat)
Lineage: Eukaryota; Viridiplantae; Streptophyta; Magnoliopsida; Poales; Poaceae
Exons: 14
Source: RefSeq, a predicted model, not a curated record
UAGGUGCACCGUGGGCGUGCAGAUCCGACCCCAUCCACUCACCCAAGUCUCUCUCUUUUCUCUCGCCCUCUCUGCUCUCUCUUGUCGCCGCCGUCUAGGCCGGCCAAUUCCGGUGGUCAACUCCGGCAGGCAGCACACUCAUCGCGCCGCUGCGACAAUCCAUGCGGCUGGAUCCGCCGUUCCCGGACACCCGCGGAUCUCCCCCGUGGCUAGGGUUUCGGUUGCCUCCCAACUCCGGCUGGUUCUCUCCUCUCCGACACCUACCCAACCCCGACGCCCCGCUAUGUCUCCUGGAUGGCCUUGUACUGCUCGACAAACUCCGCUUCUCCCUCGACCUCCACGACGCGCGCCGCGCACCCAUGGCGACCGCGGAUCUUGAGACUGUGGCGGGUUGCUGCUGCUGCAGGUGGUCGAGGCCGUCCCCGACGAGCCCUCAUGGCUGCUCCCUCCUCCACACCUGUAUGAUGGAUGGGCAUGUACUAGCUAAGCUAGUAGGCGCCCUCCUUUGAUGUCCGGGACCCCACGCCCCAGCUGGAGCUGAUGAGACCUUGGCCUGGACGGCAACGUCGACCAUGACGACGCCCCAUGCAAGGUCUGCUGCACAAGAGACCGCCUUGUGAUGUGCGUGGUGGAGAGCAUUACCAGCAACUUCGCUGGCCUACACCUGCGCUCACUCCGACGCCUCUCUCCAGUGUGUGCUUCUUAUGCUAUGGAUAAGCAGGGUUCUUGCAUGUGUGGAAGUGCAUGACUUGUUGAUUAUCAUCUAGCAUCCGUUCUCUCCCCAUGCGAUGGCAGUGAUCACAAUGCUGGACCACCUCUCGUUCUAUCGUGGUCCAGGUCCAAAUAUAUAAUCCUUAUCGCCAACAACCAUACCAGGUCCCAAGAUUUGGCACCUUAAAAUAUAACUGCGCACAAGAGAACAUUUGUUAUGUGAGCCCAACAUCAUCAAUAAAUUCGUUGGCGUGCGCCAGCCCUCACUCCCUCCUGCCCCUUCAAUGGCCGCUUCUUUUUUGAUUCUGACAUAGGUAAGCCAGUGACUUUCCUCUGCUCUUUUUCAUUCUCUGUGUGCCCACGACCGUCGAGCCCUGGUGAAUUUCAUGUGCAAGAAUGAAUUUAUUUCGAAAUUCCGAACAACUUCAUCCUUGAUUUGGAGUGCAUGAAUGAAUUUCUGAAUGGAUUAUUUUGAUUACCUGAGUUGGCGACUGUAGAGGCGUCGUGUAUCAAAUAAAAUCAUCUCCUCUUGUGCAUCGCAUGGGUGUGCGUUGCAUGUAAGUGAGGGAGAUGCAUAAAAUGGGAGUAGUAGAUUUUAGGAAGAGGCUGGUUUUACAAAUUCGUGUAUUGAUGCGGAAAUAAUAGUAAUAAUCAUUGUGUCCUUGUAUAGGAAGUGAGAACUACUCACGAAAGCACACAAGUUGGUUAGAAAGCGUCCACAUACAAAGAGUUUUCGUCAAAUGAAGUGUCCAAACACAAGUUGGUUAGAAAAGGUCCAAAUACAUAGGAGUAGCUUUAGGAAGACCCUGGCUUUUCUUUGUAGAUUUAAAUCACCUAUUGAAUUUCUGCUCCUCUGAUACUGCUACAUUCUUGUCAUGAUUGGUAACUAAAAGUGUCUGCUUUCUGGUUAACUGAAGAGAUUGUAAAAGAGAUGGAUGUGUAGGGGGCAUGGGAUCCCGGUGACAUAGAUUGUUGUUUGCAAACUACAUAGUAAACUGACUUAGUACAGUGAUUGACGCCAGCCUAGCAUACAUGUGUCAUGUGUGCUUAAGUAGUUCCCUUGAUUCAUGUCAACUAAUGCAUCAUGUGCUUUGCGUGUUGUUUCCAAUGAACGAUGGUCACCGCCAUGCCCUUUGGCUUUGGCGCCGGUACCGAGGGGACGGCGGUGGCUGUAUCAUCACUUCCUUGUCCAGCUACUAUGUCUUGGCAGAUUGCCUCCUCCUUGGCCACUACCUCAGCUUUGUCGGCAGCACAAUGACACUGGUUCGGUGGCGAUGGUUGCCUUUUCCUUGGUUCUGGUGCACAAGAAACCGUGUGUUGUGUGCGUCCAACAUCACCAGCGAGUGUGUUGGCAUGCGCAAGCCCUCACUCGACACCUCCCUCCCGCCCCUCCGGUGUAUGCUUCUUCAACUCUGGCAUAGAUUGCAAAGGAGCUGGCCGUGCAGGGGCAUGGGAUCCCGGUGACAGUGGCCAACACCACCUACAUGGGCAUGGAGGCGCUCCAUGCCGUCGGUGGCCUUGGCAAGCUGCCCGUGUACCAGUAUCUCAUGGAGGUCUAUAUUGGCGUUGCCAUGCCUGACAUCACUCAAGUAUUCCGGCAACCAGAAUCUUGUGUUUGUGAUGAUCUUGAAGUUCAAAUUUGUCCCUGUGCUGGUGCACAGGAGACCACGAGUUGUGUGCGCCCAACAUCACCAGCGAGUCCGAUGGCAUGCGCAAGCCCUCACUCCGGCGCGUUACUCCCGCCCCUUUGGCGUUCUUCGACUACGGCAUAGGUGCACAAGAGACUGCCGUGUAGUUUGAGCAGGGGAGAAGGCACCCAACAUCACCAGCAAGUCCGUCGGCCAUACACCGGCGCUCAAUGAGUGCCCUGCCCCUCCGGUGGCUUAUUCUUUGACUCCGACAUUGUUUUGAGAAGUCACCAAGUUUGAGGCGGAGCUUGUGCAUUGCUGCGAGGAGCUGCUGGAGCAAAUCGAGCAUCCUGGGGCGAGACUAUGCUGAUCUUGAGAUUGUCUGCGUUGUCGUGCGACUUUGGUAAAGAGUUUCCUCGGUGGUGCCAAUUUUGUACAUGUAGCUAGUGUUGAAAUGAAAUGGCAAUCUGAAGAUUUGUACUAUAUAUUUUUUGUUUUCUUGGUCGUGCUGUAGCAAAUGAGAUUGUUGUCGAGGUGGUGUAAGUAAAUGGCUGGCUAGAUGCUUGGGAAACCUACUUACUAUAUAGGUGGUUUCCUGUUUCGUGGCUGAGCCGCCUAUCUAUGUAUAUGGCUCUAGUGUUGUGAUGUAAAUGAUCCAGAAUCUCAUUCCCCUGUGAUGGCACAUAAUUGUUUUAUCAUA